Molecule: long non-coding RNA, 319 nt
Filed under: Trifolium pratense (red clover)
Lineage: Eukaryota; Viridiplantae; Streptophyta; Magnoliopsida; Fabales; Fabaceae
Description: long non-coding RNA (TPRA_LNC011129)
Source: RNAcentral
UAAACAAUAAAAAAGUUCUCUUGAUGUGUUUUUUUCUCUCUUUCAUAUACCAUAUAUGAUAUGAAACAGUAGUACAUAUUAUAUUAGAUAUGUGAAUGAAUGAAUACCUUGGUUGGUGAGUGGUUAUUGAGACUUUGAAUCACAAGAAGGGAAUUGGAGAAGAAGAGAAGAGAGAGAGAGAGAGAUUAAGAGAAAAAAUGACAAAAAAAAAAAAUUAAUAAAAAAAGAAACUUUUUAAUGAAAGGAAAAUGGGUGAAAAGAGAGAAAGGGAGAGAGAAAGAAAAGGGCAAUGGUGUUGGAGGACACGUGUUGAUUCUUA